GACGAACGCUGGCGGCGUGCUUAACACAUGCAAGUCGAACGGUAAGGCUCCAGCUUGCUGGGGUACACGAGUGGCGAACGGGUGAGUAACACGUGGGUGACCUGCCCUGCACUUCGGGAUAAGCCUGGGAAACUGGGUCUAAUACCGGAUAGGACCAUGGUGUGGAUACUGUGGUGGAAAGUUUUUUCGGUGUGGGAUGGGCCCGCGGCCUAUCAGCUUGUUGGUGGGGUAAUGGCCUACCAAGGCGGCGACGGGUAGCCGGCCUGAGAGGGUGGACGGCCACAUUGGGACUGAGACACGGCCCAGACUCCUACGGGAGGCAGCAGUGGGGAAUAUUGCACAAUGGGCGGAAGCCUGAUGCAGCGGCGCCGCGUGGGGGAUGACGGCCUUCGGGUUGUAAACUCAUUUCACCAUCGACGAAGGGUUUCUGACGGUAGAUGGAGAAGAAGCACCGGCUAACUACGUG
Molecule: ribosomal RNA, 466 nt
Filed under: uncultured bacterium
Lineage: Bacteria
Description: partial 16S ribosomal RNA
Rfam family: Bacterial small subunit ribosomal RNA
Source: RNAcentral